This 301-nucleotide ribosomal RNA is filed under the name uncultured bacterium. RNAcentral describes it as "partial 16S ribosomal RNA". It matches the Rfam family "Bacterial small subunit ribosomal RNA", at positions 509 to 807 of the family's 1533-position model. The record is from RNAcentral.
CAGUCGCCGCGGGAAUACGUAGGUGGCAAGCGUUGUCCGGAAUUAUUGGGCGUAAAGGGCUCGCAGGCGGUUUCUUAAGUCUGAUGUGAAAGCCCCCGGCUCAACCGGGGAGGGUCAUUGGAAACUGGGAAACUUGAGUGCAGAAGAGGAGAGUGGAAUUCCACGUGUAGCGGUGAAAUGUAUAGAGAUGUGGAGGAACACCAGUGGCGAAGGCGACUCUCUGGUCUGUAACUGACGCUGAGGAGCGAAAGCGUGGGGAGCGAACAGGAUUAGAUACCCCCGUAGUCCCUGUCUCUUAUAC